AUGGCUGGGUCCGACAGGCGCCGUGGUUGCUCCCCUGUGAAGGAGAAAGAGAGAGUUGAGAGGAUAGGAAAGAGAAAAGAGGGGAGGAGGAGGUACACGGCGGCGGGGAGGCCCUUGUCGCCAGAGGCGACGGAAGACGGCGGCACCGCCGCCCCGCAGGUUCCGCGGUGGCUGCGUGUCAACCACGGAGUUCAACGCCUCCACGCACAAAAGCUCGUCGACGCCAAGUUCUUCCGCAAGGAGCUUGUUUCCUCCUCCUCCCCCUCGCUCCCUGGCGUCGGAGCCGGCCUCCCAAGCCCCGCUCCUUGGCCCGCAUUGGCGUGGUGA
Molecule: ribosomal RNA, 327 nt
Filed under: Triticum aestivum (bread wheat)
Lineage: Eukaryota; Viridiplantae; Streptophyta; Magnoliopsida; Poales; Poaceae
Description: partial small subunit ribosomal RNA
Source: RNAcentral